CAGGGCAGCCGUAGUCAAUGUGAGCACGCUUGUGGAAUGGGCUCUCACUGCAAGGGAUGGAGACAGUUCCGAUAACCAAUAGAGCGUAAUGCACCCGAAUAUCCUCUGUACGAUCAUCUGCUCUUUAAUCCUUUCAGCUAUAGCGAUAAACGAUCUAGGGGGACUUCCUGAAUUCUCUUGUCCUUUACAGGUAGAAGGCCAAGGCUCUGCAGACUCCGAGAGGGAGUGAAGGUGCUACUCCUCUGUUGAUACAUGAGGCUUUGGAAAGAAAGCAGGUGCAUCAGAGAGAGACAAGAGGACAGUAGCAGCUCCAACUUGGACCAUGCGGUGGUGAGAAGGAACUGAGGGCGCAGUUGGUCUGCCCUGCCCUUUAUCGUCUCCAACAAAACCAUGAGGUGGAGCAAGGGCACGUUCCUGCACUGGAAUACAGUAGGGACCAUCACUCGCAGAACCACCAGGAAACAUACAAAUCCCCUGUGAUCACAACGUCACUCUGGGGUCCCUUCC
This is a long non-coding RNA of Trachemys scripta elegans, 507 nucleotides long. RefSeq lists it as uncharacterized. The transcript is spliced from 3 exons. The record is from RefSeq and is a predicted model, not a curated record. NCBI's taxonomy places the organism in Eukaryota, Metazoa, Chordata, Testudines, Emydidae.